This 253-nucleotide unclassified non-coding RNA is filed under the name uncultured Bacillaceae bacterium. Its description in RNAcentral is "contains 16S-23S intergenic spacer region". It matches the Rfam family "Bacterial small subunit ribosomal RNA", at positions 524 to 776 of the family's 1533-position model. The record is from RNAcentral. Lineage: Bacteria; Bacillati; Bacillota; Bacilli; Caryophanales; Bacillaceae.
UACGAAGGUGGCAAGCGUUAUCCGGAAUUAUUGGGCGUAAAGCGCGCGCAGGCGGUCUCUUAAGUCUGAUGUGAAAGCCCCCGGCUCAACCGGGGAGGGUCAUUGGAAACUGGGAGACUUGAGUGCAGAAGAGGAGAGUGGAAUUCCACGUGUAGCGGUGAAAUGCGUAGAGAUGUGGAGGAACACCAGUGGCGAAGGCGACUUUCUGGCCUGUAACUGAGGCUGAGGCGCGAAAGCGUGGGGAGCAAACAGG